Molecule: long non-coding RNA, 2601 nt
Filed under: Anser brachyrhynchus (Pink-footed goose)
Lineage: Eukaryota; Metazoa; Chordata; Aves; Anseriformes; Anatidae
Description: lncRNA (ENSABRG00000017986.1)
Source: RNAcentral
CGACCACCGGGACGGGGGGGCGGCCGGCUGCACCCCUGGGGACAGGGGCGACACGGGGGGCAGGCCGUCAAGCGGCGGCCGAUGCGCGGCGACGAGCGGUGGAGCAUCCCGGCCGCGCUGCGCGCCCCGCUGCGCACCGGCCGGGCCGGGGUCCGCGGUGACAAUGGUGUGUCUUACCUAGCUGGACGCAGGCCGAGACAAGCUUACGGCAGUUGGACUCCAUCACCCGGUAUCUGCAAGAGACGAAGGGCGCUGGGUUGGUAAAACUGUGGUUUCCUCACUCUCCGUGAAGAAAAAUGCAUAUACAUAAGCAACUAUAAUAAUAGCAAUAGUAAUGAUAGCAAUAGUAAUGAUAGCAAUAAUAGUAACAACGAUAAUAACAACAAUAAUAAUUGUAACAACGAAAACUACAAUAAUUAUAGUAGUAGCAGCAGUAAUAAAGAAGCCCAGCUGCCCAGGAGAUGCCUCGCAGCGCGACCUGCGCAUCUCCCGAGCGGCCUCUCCCCGCUGGGAAGCAGCCUCGGCCUCCCUCCCUCCCUCCGCCCCUGUUUUUUUGGGGAGGAGGAGGAGGGUCGCCAGCCCCCCAGCCCGGGGAGCCCUGGCCCUGGCGAGGGUACCGGCGGGGCUCUCUGCCCGGAGGGAGAUGCGCGACCGCGGAGGCUCCGCGCCUGCCCCGGCCGGCGAGGCUGGGUAGUAAAAUCACGGGAUUAGCGCCUGAUUGAGAUGUCUGUUCGGGAGAUAUUACAAAAUUCAUUAUCGCAGCUCCCUACUAACUCGAUAUGAAGUAACACAGAUGGGAUUUUAUUAGCCCAGGCUUCAAGUGUUUACUUAUGGUAAUUUCGGGGGAAAUUUGCAUGGCACCAUCAUUUCGGCGAGCCUCCUUCUUCGCCUCCUUGCCGACGGGUGAAGCGGGCGCGCUGCUGCCCGGCCAUGCGAGCGGCCCCGGGCUGCGCACGGGCGAGAGGGGGACGGCGAAAAAUAAUAAGCAACGAAAAAAAGGAAGAAAAGGGGCGGAAAACGGGGAGUCCCGAGAGCCCCGAUAUGACACAGCGUUUCUACCCGCGGCCUGGGAGCAGCUCGGCUCCCCCAGCAGCCGGGCCUAGCGCAGGAGCCGCGCCCGAUUUAUUUGGGACGGCGGCGAGAAAAGCGCCGCCCGCCCCUGCUCCGGGACGGCCCCGGCUCCCCGCCGCCCUACAAAACUCCCCGGUCCCCUCGGAGCCCUGCAAAGCUCCCCGGUCCCCCCCGCAGGGCACAGCCCUGCCCGGCCCCACUGCCACCGCCCGCUCCGGCCUCACCUCCAGGCCCCCUAUAUUUGAUUUUUUUAUUUUUUAUUUUUUUAAAUUUGGAAAGCGCAGCGCAGAGCGGGGCCGGGAGGAGCGAGAAACAUUUUCCUAUUGUCUCCUGCCCGGCGCCUCAAUUAAAAGCGGCUCCGCUCGCCGCUUGCCUUUCCAUUUCCAUUUCUUCGUGCGCUCCCCGCUCACAAUUCGAUGUUUUGGCAGCCCCACACUCGCAGCCCCAGCGAGCGCACACACCGGGCGAGCUUUUCUUUCCCUUUCCUUUUCCUUUCCUAUUCCUUUUCCUUUCCUUUAUCUUUUCCUUUCCCAUUCCUAUUCAUUUUCCUUUCCCUUCCCGUUCCUAUUCCUUUUCCUUUCCCAUUCCAAUUCCUUUUCCUUUCCCAUUCCUAUUCCUAUCCAUCUUCCUUUCCUUUUUUCAGUUCCUUUCCCUUUCCCAUUCCUUUUCCAUUCCUUUCCCGUUCCCUUUCUUUUUCCAUUCCUUUCCCAUUCCCAUUCAUUUUCCAUUCCUUUCCCAUUCCCGUUCCCCUUCCUUUCCCCCUUUCCCUUCUUGCUGGGCCGGCUCCGCUCAGGAACAACCUGCUCGCAGCCCCGCCACUAUAAAAACUGCAGGACGCGAACAAUAAAGUGGUGCCGCACGAGAUUUCUUUCCUUUUUCCUUUUCUGCUUUUUUUUUUCCCCCCUCCUUUUUCGUACCUAUCGCUAUUCUUUCGAGGAAAACAAAUCAAUAAAUACACAAACUAGCCGAGCACCCCCGGCUAAUAUCUCAGCGGCGCCCGAAAUAACGAGGCCGGUGAUUUCGGCGCAGGGCUUUGCCCGGGCGGUUCGGCUCCGUGCGGGCCCUCUCCGCUCCGCAGCCGGGCCCCGCCGCUCCCCGGGGGCGAUACCGGGCCCAGGCCCCCCUCCCGUGAGCCCUCCCAGGGCCGCCGUUUGGGGCUCUGCGCGGCGGGGCCGGCUCCCCGCUGCCCGCCCCACCGGAGGAGGCCGUGGCACGGCGGGGACCCGUCCCCGCGCCCUCCUCGCCGGGGUAAAGCGCCACGACGGAGCGGGGAGAGGGAAGAAGAGGCAGCGCCGGCACCGCAGGGCUGCUCGGCGCCCCUGCUCUCCGGGGCCAGCCCGGUGCCGGUGUCCCCGGGUGGCAACCGCACGGCGACAGAUCUGCGAGCAGAGAGCUUACCUCCGGCAUGAGACCAGCAAGAAAAGGCAGCUCCUCGGCGAGAGGCAGUGCGAAGGCGAGAGAAGUUCAGGGAAGAAGAAAAAAAAAAUAGAAAAGAGCGGCGGUGCGAAAAUCUGUAGCCUCGGGGGCUAG